AGCUCCAAUAGUGUAUAUUAAAGUUGUUGUGAUUAAAACGCUCGUAGUUGAAGGUACGAUAGAAGCUUUGUGGCAAAACCAGCUACUCUAUGAGAAGGUGGGAGUGUCGCGGAAACAAGUUUCAAGGAAGGCACACCGUUUGGGUGGGAUUACUUUGAAAAAAAUAGAGUGUUUAAAGCAAAACAUUUUGUUAAUGAAUAAUGAAGCAUGGGACAAUAAGAAGGAGAUCUGUAGAGAUUUCGAGAAAAGGAUUAAGAGGAAUAAUUGGGGUGAUUUAGAAAAAUACGGGAGAGGUGAAAAUCCAUGAUCGUAUUAAGAUAAACGAGAGCGAAAGCAUUUCACUCAAUUAUGUUCA
Molecule: ribosomal RNA, 355 nt
Filed under: uncultured eukaryote
Lineage: Eukaryota
Description: SSU rRNA
Rfam family: Eukaryotic small subunit ribosomal RNA
Source: RNAcentral